Molecule: ribosomal RNA, 253 nt
Filed under: uncultured bacterium
Lineage: Bacteria
Description: partial 16S ribosomal RNA
Rfam family: Bacterial small subunit ribosomal RNA
Source: RNAcentral
UACGAAGGGGGCUAGCGUUGUUCGGAAUUACUGGGCGUAAAGCGCACGUAGGCGGAUCAGUCAGUUAGAGGUGAAAGCCCAGGGCUCAACCCUGGAACUGCCUUUAAUACUGCUGGUCUGGAGUCCGAGAGGGGUGAGUGGAAUUCCGAGUGUAGAGGUGAAAUUCGUAGAUAUUCGGAAGAACACCAGUGGCGAAGGCGGCUCACUGGCCCGGUACUGACGCUGAGGUGCGAAAGCGUGGGGAGCAAACAGG